AUACGGAGGGUGCAAGCGUUAAUCGGAAUUAUUGGGCGUAAAGAGCACGUAGGUGGAUUUGUUAGUCAGAUGUGAAAGCCUUUUGUUCAACGGAAGAAUUGCAUCUGAAACUACAAACCUUGAGUAUAUGAGGGGAGAGUGGAACUUCUGGUGGAGCGGUGAAAUGCGCAGAUAUCAGAAGGAACGCCGGCGGCGAAAGCGACUCUCUGGCCUAUAACUGACACUGAGUGUGCGAAAGCUAGGGGAGCAAACGGAAUUAGAUACCCGAGUAGUCC
RNAcentral lists this ribosomal RNA (275 nucleotides) under uncultured bacterium. RNAcentral describes it as "partial 16S ribosomal RNA". It matches the Rfam family "Bacterial small subunit ribosomal RNA", at positions 523 to 796 of the family's 1533-position model. The record is from RNAcentral.